RNAcentral lists this ribosomal RNA (492 nucleotides) under uncultured bacterium. RNAcentral describes it as "partial 16S ribosomal RNA". It matches the Rfam family "Bacterial small subunit ribosomal RNA", at positions 29 to 507 of the family's 1533-position model. The record is from RNAcentral.
AGUGAACGCUGGCGGUAGGCCUAACACAUGCAAGUCGAACGGCAGCACAGUAAGAGCUUGCUCUUACGGGUGGCGAGUGGCGGACGGGUGAGGAAUACAUCGGAAUCUACUUUUUCGUGGGGGAUAACGUAGGGAAACUUACGCUAAUACCGCAUACGACCUACGGGUGAAAGCAGGGGGUCUUCGGACCUUGCGCGAUUGAAUGAGCCGAUGUCGGAUUAGCUAGUUGGCGGGGUAAAGGCCCACCAAGGCGACGAUCCGUAGCUGGUCUGAGAGGAUGAUCAGCCACACUGGAACUGAGACACGGUCCAGACUCCUACGGGAGGCAGCAGUGGGGAAUAUUGGACAAUGGGCGCAAGCCUGAUCCAGCCAUACCGCGUGGGUGAAGAAGGCCUUCGGGUUGUAAAGCCCUUUUGUUGGGAAAGAAAAGCAGCAGGUUAAUACCCCGCUGUUCCGACGGUACCCAAAGAAUAAGCACCGGCUAACUUCGUG